This 529-nucleotide ribosomal RNA is filed under the name uncultured bacterium. Its description in RNAcentral is "bacterial SSU rRNA". It matches the Rfam family "Bacterial small subunit ribosomal RNA", at positions 9 to 507 of the family's 1533-position model. The record is from RNAcentral.
CGGAGUUUACGAUCCUGGACUCAGAACGAACGCUGGCGGCGUGGAUAAGACAUGCAAGUCGAACGAUUACUAUUGGGUAGCAAUAUUCGGUAGUGAGAGUGGCGCAAGGGUGCGUAACACGUGGGUAAUUUGCCGUAAAGUCUGGGACAACUUGCUGAAAGGCGAGCUAAUACCGGAUGUGAUUUCUGGAAGGCAUCUUCUAGAACUUAAAGUCGGGACCGUAAGGCCUGACACUUUUCGAUAAGCCCGCGGCCUAUCAGCUAGUUGGUGAGGUAACGGCUCACCAAGGCUAAGACGGGUAGCUGGUCUGAGAGGACGACCAGCCACACUGGAACUGAGACACGGUCCAGACACCUACGGGUGGCAGCAGUCGAGAAUUUUUCUCAAUGGGGGAAACCCUGAAGGAGCGACGCCGCGUGGGGGAUGAAUGGCUUCGGCCCGUAAACCCCUGUCAUUUGCGAUCAAACCUUACGGCCUAACACGUCGUAAACUGAUAGUAGCGGAAGAGGAAGGGACGGCUAACUCUGUG